UAGACCAAUGGUGACAACUGGUGGCAUUGAGUUGUGAACAAUGGACACUAUGUGUCUGAAACUGUGAGGUCUAA
Molecule: small nucleolar RNA, 74 nt
Organism: Camelus dromedarius (Arabian camel)
Lineage: Eukaryota; Metazoa; Chordata; Mammalia; Artiodactyla; Camelidae
Source: Ensembl